UGUUACUUAUAAAAAAUAUGUUUUGGACUAGUAAUAAAAAUGAAAUUUAACGGAUUUGGCGGCAAGAUAGCCAUUUAGAGGAACCUGCCCUAUAAACGAUGAACCACGAAUACCUUACUUUCUUUUGAGAUCAGUUUGUAUACCGCUGUUGGCAGUUAGUUUCAUUAGAAAACUUUCGUUAAUAAUAUAAUUAUUGACUUCAAGUAAAGGUGCAGCAAAUAAGAAAGACAGAGGUGGGUUACAUUUAAUUGAAUAAAACGGAUAAAGUUAUGAAAUUACUUUUGAAGGUGGAUUUAAUAGUAAAGUUUAAUAAAACUUGAUGGGAGCUCUGUCUUGU
This 337-nucleotide ribosomal RNA is filed under the name Amphibalanus reticulatus. RNAcentral's name for it is "partial 12S ribosomal RNA". The record is from RNAcentral. Lineage: Eukaryota; Metazoa; Arthropoda; Thecostraca; Balanomorpha; Balanidae.